GAUGAACGCUGGCGGCGUGCCUAAUACAUGCAAGUCGAGCGAACAGACGAGGAGCUUGCUCCUCUGACGUUAGCGGCGGACGGGUGAGUAACACGUGGAUAACCUACCUAUAAGACUGGGAUAACUUCGGGAAACCGGAGCUAAUACCGGAUAAUAUAUUGAACCGCAUGGUUCAAUAGUGAAAGACGGUUUUGCUGUCACUUAUAGAUGGAUCCGCGCCGCAUUAGCUAGUUGGUAAGGUAACGGCUUACCAAGGCAACGAUGCGUAGCCGACCUGAGAGGGUGAUCGGCCACACUGGAACUGAGACACGGUCCAGGCUCCUACGGGAGGCAGCAGUAGGGAAUCUUCCGCAAUGGGCGAAAGCUUGACGGAGCAACGCCGCGUGAGUGAUGAAGGUCUUCGGAUCGUAAAACUCUGUUAUUAGGGAAGACCAAAUGUGUAAGUAACUAUGCACGUCUUGACGGUACCUAAUCAGAAAGCCACGGCUAACUACGUG
RNAcentral lists this ribosomal RNA (497 nucleotides) under uncultured bacterium. RNAcentral describes it as "partial 16S ribosomal RNA". It matches the Rfam family "Bacterial small subunit ribosomal RNA", at positions 28 to 507 of the family's 1533-position model. The record is from RNAcentral.